AUACGUAGGGGGCGAGCGUUGUCCGGAAUGAUUGGGCGUAAAGGGCGCGUAGGCGGCCCGGUAAGUCUGGAGUGAAAGUCCUGUUUUUGAGAUGGGAAUUGCUUUGGAUACUGUCGGGCUUGAGUGCAGGAGAGGUAAGUGGAAUUCCCAGUGUAGCGGUGAAAUGCGUAGAGAUUGGGAGGAACACCAGUGGCGAAGGCGACUUACUGGACUGUAACUGACGCUGAGGCGCGAAAGUGUGGGGAGCAAACAGGAUUAGAUACCCUGGUAGUCCACACUGUAAACGAUGAAUGCUAGGUGUAGGGGGUAUCGACCCCUUCUGUGCCGCAGUCAACACAAUAAGCAUUCCGCCUGGGGAGUACGGCCGCAAGAAUGAAACUCAAAGGAAUUGACGGGG
Molecule: ribosomal RNA, 397 nt
Filed under: uncultured bacterium
Lineage: Bacteria
Description: partial 16S ribosomal RNA
Rfam family: Bacterial small subunit ribosomal RNA
Source: RNAcentral